GAGUGCAGGUACUUUGCCGUCAGAAUAAUUUGUAGGACCCCGGCGAGCUUGCGGAGCGCCCUCAUUUUCUCCUGUCUUCGCCCCCUCCCUCCCGAAAAGAAGACCCCACUUUUGAAACAAUCAGAACCCGAAGCAUCCGACCAAAGCCAAAGCCCGACGGGCGGCUGUUCUUGUGCUGUCCUUUCUUGCAGUUUAUUCUGGGCCUGUGUGGAAUAGAAAGACAAUUCUUUAUUUGACUGGUAGGGGAGAAGCGAGAAGACUCCUCAGGGUUUCCAAGGAGGACUGGAGCGGCUGCUUUAGUGAAGAAAUGGAGAUUCAAAGAAGUAAAGGACCUGUCUCAAAGUCACAGUACUAGGAAAUCUUGAGGAGUUUGACACUUUUCAUCCUCCUGCCAUUAAUCAUCUUGUGGGGGAAGGCUAUAUGUUGGUGGGAAUAAAAAGCAAGCAGUUCCUGGCCCAUGAUAACUAGUUAAGGGUGUCUGACUGAUGGCAUGUUGGCACCAGCAUUGAAGGAAGUGAUGGGCUUCAGGUCCAGGUUCCUAUCCUGAGACCACAGCAGGAUGUGCCUUGGACAAAGGCUUGGACUCGUGGAUCAUCCAGUGACUUCAAAAUUCUGGUCUCAGGGUGGUGAACUUCUUUGAAUUCCUAACCUGUGAGCCUAUGAUGAUGGUGCCUGCCAACUAACUGAACUACUGUGGUUUUGAACUUCUUGAGGCCAAGGACUGUGUCUGAAAACACAUACAGUGGCUAACACAAGG
This is a long non-coding RNA of Balaenoptera acutorostrata (minke whale), 757 nucleotides long. RefSeq lists it as uncharacterized. The transcript is spliced from 9 exons. NCBI's taxonomy places the organism in Eukaryota, Metazoa, Chordata, Mammalia, Artiodactyla, Balaenopteridae. The record is from RefSeq and is a predicted model, not a curated record.